AUUGAACGCUGGCGGCAUGCCUUACACAUGCAAGUCGAACGGCAGCACGGGAGCAAUCCUGGUGGCGAGUGGCGAACGGGUGAGUAAUGUAUCGGAACGUGCCCAGUCGUGGGGGAUAACGCAGCGAAAGCUGUGCUAAUACCGCAUACGAUCUAUGGAUGAAAGCGGGGGAUCGCAAGACCUCGCGCGAUUGGAGUGGCCGAUAUCAGAUUAGCUAGUUGGUGGGGUAAAAGCUUACCAAGGCGACGAUCUGUAGCUGGUCUGAGAGGACGACCAGCCACACUGGAACUGAGACACGGUCCAGACUCCUACGGGUGGCAGCAGUGGGGAAUUUUGGACAAUGGGCACAAGCCUGAUCCAGCAAUGCCGCGUGCAGGAUGAAGGCCUUCGGGUUGUAAACUGCUUUUGUACGGAGCGAAAAGGCUCUCUCUAAUACAGGGGGCUCAUGACGGUACCGUAAGAAUAAGCACCGGCUAACUACGUGCCAGCAGCCGCGGUAA
Molecule: ribosomal RNA, 500 nt
Filed under: uncultured bacterium
Lineage: Bacteria
Description: partial 16S ribosomal RNA
Rfam family: Bacterial small subunit ribosomal RNA
Source: RNAcentral